RNAcentral lists this ribosomal RNA (577 nucleotides) under uncultured bacterium. RNAcentral's name for it is "bacterial SSU rRNA". It matches the Rfam family "Bacterial small subunit ribosomal RNA", at positions 338 to 916 of the family's 1533-position model. The record is from RNAcentral.
CCUACGGGAGGCAGCAGUAAGGAAUAUUGGUCAAUGGACGAAAGUCUGAACCAGCCAUGCCGCGUGAAGGAUUAAGGCCCUCUGGGUUGUAAACUUCUUUUAUCUGGGACGAAAAAAGGGUAUUCUUACUCACUUGACGGUACCAGAGGAAUAAGCACCGGCUAACUCCGUGCCAGCAGCCGCGGUAAUACGGAGGGUGCAAGCGUUAUCCGGAUUUACUGGGUUUAAAGGGUGCGUAGGUGGGCUUGUAAGUCAGUGGUGAAAUCUCCGGGCUUAACUCGGAAACUGCCAUUGAUACUAUAGGUCUUGAAUUAUCUGGAGGUAAGCGGAAUAUGUCAUGUAGCGGUGAAAUGCUUAGAUAUGACAUAGAACACCAAUUGCGAAGGCAGCUUACUACGGAUAUAUUGACACUGAGGCACGAAAGCGUGGGGAUCAAACAGGAUUAGAUACCCUGAUAGUCCACGCCCUAAACGAUGGAUACUCGACAUCAGCGAUACACUGUUGGUGUCUGAGCGAAAGCAUUAAGUAUCCACCUGGGAAGUACGAUCGCAAGAUUGAAACUCAAAUGAAUUGACGG